GAUGAACGCUGGCGGCGUGCUUAACACAUGCAAGUCGAACGGAAAGGCCCAAGCUUGCUUGGGUACUCGAGUGGCGAACGGGUGAGUAACACGUGGGUGAUCUGCCCUGCACUUCGGGAUAAGCCUGGGAAACUGGGUCUAAUACCGGAUAGGACCACAUUUUGGAUGGUGUGGUGGAAAGUUUUUCGGUGUGGGAUGAGCUCGCGGCCUAUCAGCUUGUUGGUGGGGUAAUGGCCUACCAAGGCGUCGACGGGUAGCCGGCCUGAGAGGGUGUACGGCCACAGUGGGACUGAGAUACGGCCCAGACUCCUACGGGAGGCAGCAGUGGGGAAUAUUGCACAAUGGGCGCAAGCCUGAUGCAGCGACGCGGCGUGGGGGAUGACGGCCUUCGGGUUGUAAACUCCUUUCGCUAGGGACGAAGCGUUAUGUGACGGUACCUGGAGAAGAAGCACCGGCUAACUACGUG
RNAcentral lists this ribosomal RNA (466 nucleotides) under uncultured bacterium. RNAcentral describes it as "partial 16S ribosomal RNA". It matches the Rfam family "Bacterial small subunit ribosomal RNA", at positions 28 to 507 of the family's 1533-position model. The record is from RNAcentral.